Cherax quadricarinatus is the source of this 379-nucleotide non-coding RNA. The record is from RefSeq and is a predicted model, not a curated record. Lineage: Eukaryota; Metazoa; Arthropoda; Malacostraca; Decapoda; Parastacidae.
UUGCACAUGUUCAGCCGCCUGUGGAAGAUUGUAAGAAUUAUUUUUCCAGGAUGUUAUUCAGUACCGACUGGACUCUUCUUUCUCUUGCUAUUCCUGUGUUUUCUCGAGCAGUACCUGGCCUACUACAUGGGACUGGUUCCCAGUAAAUACUACAAGGUGUUUGAUGAUCGGGACCAGCAUGAGUUUAUGUAUCUCACUCUGAGGGCCUGUGGAUUGAUUUUGUCAAUUGCAUGUGUAAGUGUAUUAGUAUGAGACAGGAAGUUUUACUGUUGCAUAAUUAGAACCAGAGCAUUUUCUUUAUGUAACCUUUGCAAGCAAGCAAACCAGUUUUAUUUUUAAAAUGUGCAUAAUUGUUAUAAAAUUAAAGUUACAUUUAUUU